UUUAAUUUUAUUUAUUUAUUUUAGUUUAGUUUUAUUUUAUUUUCCUUUAUUUUAUUUUUGUUUUAAUUGAACAGAAUUUUCUUUUAUUUUUUUUUGUGUUGUGUCCCGUGUAUGUUAGCAACGGCAAGUUAUUUUUGUUUUGGCCAUACGUAUUUUAAAUAGUUUUGUAAUUAGGUAGUGAAUUUUUUUUUUGAAAGAUCAGAUAAUUUUAAGUAAUUUUUAUGAUGGUUUGUGGUCUGUGUAUUAAUUGUAAGACUCGUACGUACCAGGAAUAUUGCUUAAAUGGAAAUCGAUGCAUGCUGGGCGUUGUGUGUGAGGUGCGUAUUGUGUAUAUAGAAUUUCAUAUUUUUUGGACUGUGAUAUUUGUCUUUGUGUGUGUUUGUUUUGUUUUACCUGUGAAGUUGUAUGGUGAUAUGUUGGGCGUCCCUAAUUGAAAUUAUUGAUGUUUUGUGAGUGCUUUUUCUGGGUUUGUUAGUUAUGUGUGAAAUGGUGUGCAUUGUUUCUGUUGCGCUUUCGGG
This 518-nucleotide long non-coding RNA is filed under the name Androctonus crassicauda. The record is from RNAcentral. Lineage: Eukaryota; Metazoa; Arthropoda; Arachnida; Scorpiones; Buthidae.